Long non-coding RNA from Mustela lutreola (European mink), 404 nucleotides. RefSeq lists it as uncharacterized. NCBI's taxonomy places the organism in Eukaryota, Metazoa, Chordata, Mammalia, Carnivora, Mustelidae. The transcript has 3 exons. The record is from RefSeq and is a predicted model, not a curated record.
CAGGAUUUUCUCUUAUAUCUGAGACUCUACAAGACAAUCAUACUCCAAAUUCAGUGAUUGACUUUCUCAGUUUACACAGAAGGCAAGGGGUGCCUGGAUGACACAGUUGUUUAAGCAGAUGUUUGCCUUUGGCUGAGGUCAUGAUUCCAGUGUACAGGGAUCCAGCCCUGCAUGGGACUACUUGCACCCCAAGGAGCUUGCUUUUUCUUCUCCCUUUGCACGUGAUUCCCCCUGCUUGUGUGCUUCUUCUUCUCUAUGUCUCUCUCUCUCUCUCUUGCUGUCAAUAAACAAAAUAAAAUCUUUUACUAAAUCAAUCAAUCAAUCAAUCAAUAAAUAAAUCUACUUUCACUUUAGGUCCCUUAACAAAAAUUUCUACUGCUUUAUUUAAAAAAAAAAAAAGAUAA